This 260-nucleotide long non-coding RNA is filed under the name Mytilus galloprovincialis (Mediterranean mussel). The record is from RNAcentral. Lineage: Eukaryota; Metazoa; Mollusca; Bivalvia; Mytilida; Mytilidae.
AUAUUAUACUAACUAUUUAUUACCAUAAUUCUGUAGAUUAUGCAGAUGUACCUUUAUUGGAACGUAUAAUAGUAAGAUUCCUUUUUAGCUCACCCGACCCGAAGGGCCAAGUGAGCUUUUCUCGUCACUUUGCGUCCGUCGGGUCAAAUUUAACCAAACUUGGCCACAAUCAUCAUUGGGUAUUCUAGUUUGAAAAAUGUGUUCGCUGACACGGCCAACCAACCAAGAUGGCAGCCACGGCUAAAAAUAGAACAUAGGGG